This 149-nucleotide ribosomal RNA is filed under the name bacterium 052304. RNAcentral describes it as "partial 16S rRNA". It matches the Rfam family "Bacterial small subunit ribosomal RNA", at positions 355 to 507 of the family's 1533-position model. The record is from RNAcentral.
UGGGGAAUAUUGGACAAUGGGCGGAAGCCUGAUCCAGCAACGCCGCGUGAGGGAUGACGGCCUUCGGGUUGUAAACCUCUUUCAGUAUCGACGAAGCGCCCGUGUGGGUGGUGACGGUAGGUACAGAAGAAGCACCGGCCAACUACGUG